GCAUAUCAAUAAGCGGAGGAAAAGAAACCAACAGGGAUUGCCUCAGUAACGGCGAGUGAAGCGGCAACAGCUCAAAUUUGAAAUCUGGCCUCGGCCCGAGUUGUAAUUUGUAGAGGAAGCUUUGGGUGCGGCACCGACCGAGUCCCCUGGAACGGGGCGCCAUAGAGGGUGAGAGCCCCGUAUGGUUGGACGCCUAUCCUGUGUAAAGCUCCUUCGACGAGUCGAGUAGUUUGGGAAUGCUGCUCAAAAUGGGAGGUAAAUUUCUUCUAAAGCUAAAUAUUGGCCAGAGACCGAUAGCGCACAAGUAGAGUGAUCGAAAGAUGAAAAGCACUUUGAAAAGAGGGUUAAAUAGCACGUGAAAUUGUUGAAAGGGAAGCGCUUGUGACCAGACUUGCGCCUCGUCGAUCAUCCGGGGUUCUCCCCGGUGCACUCGGCGGGGCUCAGGCCAGCAUCGGUUUUCGCGGGGGGACAAAGGUCCCGGGAACGUAGCUCCUCCGGGAGUGUUAUAGCCCGGGGCGUAAUGCCCUCGCGGGGACCGAGGACCGCGCUUCGGCAAGGAUGCUGGCGUAAUGGUCAUCAGCGACCCGUCUUGAAACACGGACCAAGGAGUCAAGGUUUUGCGCGAGUGUUUGGGUGUAAAACCCGCACGCGUAAUGAAAGUGAACGUAGGUGAGAGCUUCGGCGCAUCAUCGACCGAUCCUGAUGUAUUCGGAUGGAUUUGAGUAGGAGCGUUAAGCCUUGGACCCGAAAGAUGGUGAACUAUGCUUGGAUAGGGUGAAGCCAGAGGAAACUCUGGUGGAGGCUCGCAGCGGUUCUGACGUGCAAAUCGAUCGUCAAAUCUGAGCAUGGGGGCGAAAGACUAAUCGAACCAUCUAGUAGCUGGUUACCGCCGA
RNAcentral lists this ribosomal RNA (893 nucleotides) under Triangularia longicaudata. RNAcentral describes it as "partial large subunit ribosomal RNA". It matches the Rfam family "Eukaryotic large subunit ribosomal RNA", at positions 38 to 964 of the family's 3401-position model. The record is from RNAcentral. Lineage: Eukaryota; Fungi; Ascomycota; Sordariomycetes; Sordariales; Podosporaceae.